UACAGAGGUCCCAAGCGUUGUUCGGAUUCACUGGGCGUAAAGGGUGCGCAGGUGGCCGGGUAAAUCUGAUGUGAAAUCCCGCAGCUUAACUGCGGAAUGGCAUUGGAUACUAUUUGGCUAGAGGGUUGGAGGGGGGACUGGAAUUCUCGGUGUAGCAGUGAAAUGCGUAGAUAUCGAGAGGAACACCAGUGGCGAAGGCGGCUCACUGGCCCGGUACUGACGCUGAGGUGCGAAAGCGUGGGGAGCAAACAGG
RNAcentral lists this ribosomal RNA (253 nucleotides) under uncultured bacterium. RNAcentral's name for it is "partial 16S ribosomal RNA". It matches the Rfam family "Bacterial small subunit ribosomal RNA", at positions 524 to 776 of the family's 1533-position model. The record is from RNAcentral.